GUGCCCUGUGAUACUCCUGCCUCAGCCUGCUGAGUAGCUGGGAUUACAGGCAUAUGCUAUGAUGCCUGGUUUGCUCUUCUAAAAUUUUAAUAAGACAUUUUGAAACAGACCAAGCAAGACAAAUAGUGCUCUCACCUCAGUGGCCAAUAGCAGAGGCUAUGACUCUAAGCUGUGGGUCCUUAAUCAACCUUAGGGAGCAAGACCUGAAUUACAAGGGCCAAACAUCUGACCUGAGUGUCUGUCCUGUGUCCUUAACAGUCAGGACAUCUCUGGCUGUGGAUUCUCCCGUAGAGCAACAGCACAGCCUCAGAACCUGUCCUCUCCCCUAUGUUCUUACCCUUUGGCACUUUGGUAAGAAAAACUAGGACGCCUUAGGGCUAGGCCUGGGGAGCCAGUCUUGGGGGAUGGCAGCAAAUUCACACGGUAAUUUUGAGCCCCUUACAUGAAAUGAACAAUAAGGCUGAGCACAUGACAGCAGUGGUUAGAAACCAGAGGGGCUUCUUUAUGUGUUUUUCUCUUCUGCUCCUGGUGACCACCGCCAGGGCUUUACUGUAAGCAGCACCAGGCCCUCCGUGCGGAUGAACUGUGUUGGAUCAGGGCUUUUUUCUGAACAGGCAGGCCCAGGGUGGUUUUGCCACAGCAUCAGGCAACCUGUUCAGAAGGUCCUGACAUAGGCUACUGUGCUUGGGGUUAGACAACAUUUCAGCAUACGGCGGGUUACUGUGGGAAUGAGACAGAGGGAGAGCAUGGAGGGGGUGAGCCACGCAUGUCAUAGUGGAGGCUCCUGAAGAAGAGUUACUAGCUGUGCUCUCACAGCAGAUGGCAUUUGGUCUUAAAUGUACCCGCUCCUGAUUUUUGCCUUGGAAACUGAAGAACAGCACAGCCCCCGUUCUGAUAUUUUCAGGAAUGGGAGAGAAACAAGAGGAGGAAGCCAGGGACCAUCGGGAGCAGUGGCUGGGCAGCUGUCCCCAGAGCCUGACCAGUUACUGUUCCUGCUCAGAGCCCCGCAGGGGAAGCACAGCCUCAGUGCUGGGAGCUGGGGUCAGCCCACACCGUCAUAUUCCAGGGCCUGGCUGCUGAAGUUGCAAAGGUGUUUGAAGAAUGCUUCAGUGGCCUGGGGCUUUUGGCUCCCUUCUGGAAACUUAUAAAGAAGUGCUGGCCUUACACGCUUUCUCUCAUGAGGAGCAUAAAGCUUUUGUCUUUCAAAUCCAUUUCCUAAGAAGAGGCAAGACUUUCUUAGCCCAGACAACAGAAAGGCUUGGAGUUGGGAAGGAGAAAUAGAGGAAGAAUUUGCAAAAGCUACUUGGAGAGGACCAGUGCAUGCGCACUCUGGGAUUUUUCAGUGUUGGGCUCAUCUUCUGUUAGUCCCCCGCCCCACCAAGUGGUAUGUGCAUCGGAGAGGAAGGAGAUUGUACACUGUGAGCUGCUGCUUUGGAAAUCUCAGAGAAAAUCCCCUGGGCUGGUGCCUGGCACAGAGAGGCUGAGCAGCCUGCGUCCAGACUGCAGUCAUCAAAGGAAUGAUAUAGAUAAGCAGUUAGCCUUUAAUGCAUGCACUUCUGAAGCGGCGGAAGGCUGUUUCUCUUGGGGUUUCCAAGGGUCUAAGGAAGGGGGAGCUUUUCUGCUAACCAGGUGGCCCCAGAGUGGUUUUCCUGAUUCAGAGAAAUAAACUACGUGAAUAAAUUUUAUAGGGUAAAUUUCGUAUCCAUCUCACGUACUUAGCAAGUAUCCAGGACUUAGUGAGCACACAAUAGAGAAUGUAUUCCUUUCUCUUUCCUGUCUCCUUUCGACAGGGAUCUACCUAAGUCUUGCAACCAGUUGAAAACCUUUCCCUAUUAAAAACAAAAUCAAGAAAAACCAGGAAAGAUAUGCUCCUCUGCUUGCUAAUCAGACACGAACAUUGUAUUUAUUAUGUUAGGCUCCUACUAAGAUGGUAAACUAGAUCAGGCUGCUUGCUAAUCAGCACUGCAGAAACAGGAGCAAGAGGGGGAUGGACAUUUGAGAAACAUUUGUGGAACAAAACAAUAACUAAAGAGAAAACAAGACUCCCAGUAUGAGAUCGUCUGGGAAGAUCCUCUUGAGCUGCUGCGCAUAGGUGGAGGUGCUGAGACCAGGGUGAAGCAUCCAGAAGGAACAGUAAAGACACUGAUCACAGAGAAGCAAGCAUUGGGAGGGCUGUCCUUGCAUGGUCCCCAGUGAAGCCUCAUGACAGUGUGGCCUGCCCUUUCAGUAUAGAGCACACUGAUCAGAGCCUGGACUACUGGUGCAGCUGUCUGCAGGACAAAUUUGUGGCCAUGUAAAAAGCCUGGCAGAGAGCACUGUCAACUGAGCAGCUAACCUCCCUCUCCACACACUCAAGAGAAGGGCUGCCUCCUGUCACUACUGCUUAGCAUGAAGGGUUAACUAAGAAAUGCUGACCAGAGUUGUCUGCCGGCUCCAGGUUAACAGCUUAGAUGAUCAGAUGUGACACCUUGGCAUGUGGGACUCUCCAUCGACACCACUGGGCUUUUCCAAUAUGUGGUACAAAAUAGAGUAGAGGACACGCCCCCAGGUAGAGAAAGAAGAAACAGAAGAUGGCAAGCAAAAUAACUACUGCAAGACAAGUACCAAAUAAAUAAACUGUUUUCUGUUACUAUGACUAAUUAUUGGAGAUAAGGAAAUUUAUAAAGAAAAUAGGCUGAGAAGAGUAAGGUUGAAGGACCACUUCUUGUGGGCUUCUUGUUGGUGGGGAUCCCUGCAGACUCCACGAGCAGAACAUCACAUGGUGAGGCAGAGCAAGCUUGCUGCUUUGAAUCUUUUGUCCUUAUAAAGCCACCAGUCGCAUUAUGGGUGCCCUAACUUCAUGCCUCAUUUAAUCCCAAUUAUCUCCCUGGGGCACCACCUCCUGUGACCAUUAAAGUAGGAUUUGGAGGAGUAAGUUUCCAAUACCCCAAAUCGUGAGACAUUCAAACCGAAGCACAAAUAGACAAAUUGUGCAAUCAUUAUCUGCAGAAGUAUUUGAAAUAAACAUUCUGAAUAUAACUAAAGACAUAUCUAAUAUUAUGUUAAAAUAGAUUUCAUGUUUUAAAAAUAUAUCUAAACAAAUAAUUGAUUAAUCGAAUUUUUAAGUCAUAAAAAAGAACUAAGUAAAACAGUAGGUCUAAAAAAGUCAAGCAAGCAAAUAAAACACAUAUAAGGGAUAAGGAGUGGUGGAAUGUAUAUAUCUAAAGAGCAGUUGAUGAGUUAGCAGAUAGGAUCGAAAGGCUUUUCUAGAAUGUGACAGAAAAGAGUAAGAGCAGAAAGAAAAUACAGAUCUUAAAAAUUAAGCUAAAGAAAUAGAACGGAGAAAGACAUUCAUGUAUAGAGAGAUCUAAAAGCAAACAGAAAAGUGUAAGAAAAGAUGAUAUUUGGAGGGAACAUGCAGACAUAUUUUCAAGAAUUAAAGAAUUCUAUCCAACCAAUCUAUUAAUCAAAUGUAAAGACACAAUAAGCAUAUUGUGUCUUGAAUGUAUAAACCUUCAGCAAUUUUGCCACAGAAAGAUUCAUAUUGAAAACACUUUGUGGCUGGUCCGAUGGCAGUGGGUUAUCAGAACUUAUUAACAUUAGUGUCACUAAAGUUGGUAUACCACCCCCCCACUGCUAAAUUUGACUGGCUAAAAAAAAAAAAAAAGAAAAGAAAACACUUUGUGAAGAAGCACUUCCAUAAUAAGAAAUAAAUCUAGACUGCUAGCUAGUAGGUAGAAAUUUUUAGAGUGAAGCACCCAAGCUUGACAGGUAAGAUACUGCUGCCCCCAAAGACAACUGCUGACAUCACUUCAAGUCAUGUCUGUUUCAGAUGGGCCUUCCAAAGAACCAAUUUAAAUCAGCCAAAAUCACUCAGUCCCUCCAGUUAUCUAGAGAAAAUCUUGUUCAUUAUAAUCUCAUUAGAAAGCUAACUUCUCUGCCCUUAGGCAAUCCUGUUUGACAUUUUCAAACAAGCAGUGUGUAAAGGAACUUGAUCUCAAACUCCCCAUGCUCAGGAAUGUGCCUGCCUCUAUACAUGAUGCUGUCUUUCUAGUACAAACGUGUGAAAGUCUUGCCAAUAAAAAUCCCUGUUGGUUUGGCUUAGACAGACAUGUUUCAGGAGUCAUCCUGGUGGGGGCUUUCCUUACUUGUUGCUAUUAAAUCUUUCUUCACUCUUAGGUUGUGCUUCUUAGCUCUGUGCUCACCACCAGGGCCAACCAUUUAUUGGUUGCAAGAUGAUGAAGCAAUAAUUAUGGGAAAUAAGGGUAAUAACAAAGCUUAGGCAAAGUUACCAUUGUUGUAAAAAUUAGAAUUAACAUAUAAAACUUAGAAGAAACAUAUUUACACAAUAAGACGGAACUGAAAUUUUAUUAAUAUAAUGGAGGAUCUAAGGGAGAGAAAGCCCAAGGGGAGAGUGAGAUCCACAGUGAAGGAAGGUGUGGGAAGCCCUGUCAUUGGCUGCCACCUUACAUCUGCGGGCAGUACCACCUUAACACCUGCAGCACCACCUUGGCCUACCUAACUUGCUUGAUCUAUUCAGGAAUUAUGUUAAUCAGCCUGCCCUAUGAGCCCACACCCGGAAAUUUGAAUUGACCUAUAACCCUCGGUCCUGCCACUGUUGCUAAGUUACCUGCUGACGUCUCAGAACCCAAAUCCCUCCUCCUCAAUACCCUAUAUAUUUGUUACUCCUUCCGUGAAUAAACGAGACUUGAUUGGA
Molecule: long non-coding RNA, 4696 nt
Organism: Cavia porcellus (domestic guinea pig)
Lineage: Eukaryota; Metazoa; Chordata; Mammalia; Rodentia; Caviidae
Exons: 2
Source: RefSeq, a predicted model, not a curated record